RNAcentral lists this ribosomal RNA (576 nucleotides) under Neonectria sp. C_BESC_184ab. Its description in RNAcentral is "eukaryotic LSU rRNA". It matches the Rfam family "Eukaryotic large subunit ribosomal RNA", at positions 1 to 590 of the family's 3401-position model. Lineage: Eukaryota; Fungi; Ascomycota; Sordariomycetes; Hypocreales; Nectriaceae. The record is from RNAcentral.
ACCUCGGAUCAGGUAGGAAUACCCGCUGAACUUAAGCAUAUCAAUAAGCGGAGGAAAAGAAACCAACAGGGAUUGCCCUAGUAACGGCGAGUGAAGCGGCAACAGCUCAAAUUUGAAAUCUGGCCUUCGGGUCCGAGUUGUAAUUUGUAGAGGAUGCUUUUGGUGAGGUACCUUCCGAGUUCCCUGGAACGGGACGCCAUAGAGGGUGAGAGCCCCGUCUGGUUGGAUACCGAUCCUCUGUAAAGCUCCUUCGACGAGUCGAGUAGUUUGGGAAUGCUGCUCUAAAUGGGAGGUAUAUGUCUUCUAAAGCUAAAUAUUGGCCAGAGACCGAUAGCGCACAAGUAGAGUGAUCGAAAGAUGAAAAGCACUUUGAAAAGAGAGUUAAAAAGUACGUGAAAUUGUUGAAAGGGAAGCGCUCAUGACCAGACUUGGGCUUGGUUGAUCAUCCAGGGUUCUCCCUGGUGCACUCUUCCAGCCCAGGCCAGCAUCAGUUCGCUGUGGGGGAUAAAGGCUUCGGGAAUGUGGCUCCUCCGGGAGUGUUAUAGCCCGCUGCGUAAUACCCUGUGGUGGACNGAG